AUCCUUUUGUAGUUCAUAAACAUGAUGAUUGAGUAUUCACACCAUUGUGUGACAUGUAGCUCCCCUCAAACCUUGUUACAACAUCAGCACAUUACCCGUCUGACA
This is a small nucleolar RNA of Mustela putorius furo (domestic ferret), 105 nucleotides long. Lineage: Eukaryota; Metazoa; Chordata; Mammalia; Carnivora; Mustelidae. The record is from Ensembl.